This is a long non-coding RNA of Drosophila pseudoobscura, 640 nucleotides long. RefSeq lists it as uncharacterized. The transcript has 5 exons. The record is from RefSeq and is a predicted model, not a curated record. NCBI's taxonomy places the organism in Eukaryota, Metazoa, Arthropoda, Insecta, Diptera, Drosophilidae.
GUGUAAACUUGCUCAGUGUGACCUGACGCAAACUUUAUUAAUGUUCUUAUUACUAUCUAGCAACAUAUAACAUUAUAUCUGACAACAUUACAAGUUUUGGCAACAUAAGAUUACAUAAAUAUCGAUAACAAUGUGGUAUUUAUUACAAUUAAUUAAAAAAUUUUUUUUUUCUUGCUUUAAUUUAAUUUUAUUUUAAGAUUAAGCUCAGGUUAGCCCGCUCGGCCGAGUGGCUGCUGGUCCGGCCACCGAGGAUGCGUUGCCUGUGGAUUGGCUCGAUCAACCGAGUGGCUGCUGGUCCGGCCACCCGGGAUGCGUAUGGGUCUGGAGGAUGUUUUGACUUUUGAUGUGCGGAGAAUUUGGUUUGCUGCAGAUUUGGUUUAUAUUUUGUAGGUUUGGUGGUAAAUUGUCGGCAUUCAAGUUAAGUAAUUUUAGUUUUUAUAUUUUUUGGCUUUUAUUGAAUAUAUUUUUUUUUUUUAUUUUCAAGUUGAUUCCCUGGAUGUUGUGUUGGGAUGUCUUCUGGUUGCUUGCUUAGUUGCUGACGUUUUAAAUUUUGUUUUAUUUUCAGGUUUGCUGCAGAUUUGGUUUAUAUUUUAUAGGUUUGGUGGUAAAUUGUCGGCAUUCAAGUUAAGUAAUUUUUGUU